Maniola jurtina (meadow brown) is the source of this 89-nucleotide long non-coding RNA. RefSeq lists it as uncharacterized. NCBI's taxonomy places the organism in Eukaryota, Metazoa, Arthropoda, Insecta, Lepidoptera, Nymphalidae. The transcript is spliced from 2 exons. The record is from RefSeq and is a predicted model, not a curated record.
ACUAAUAUUAUAAAUGCGAGAGUGUGUCUGUUGUGUUCGUUUGUCCUUCAAUCAUGCUGCAAAAGAGCAACAGAUUGACGUGAUAUUGU